RNAcentral lists this ribosomal RNA (450 nucleotides) under uncultured bacterium. RNAcentral's name for it is "partial 16S ribosomal RNA". It matches the Rfam family "Bacterial small subunit ribosomal RNA", at positions 354 to 796 of the family's 1533-position model. The record is from RNAcentral.
GUGGGGAAUUUUGGACAAUGGGCGCAAGCCUGAUCCAGCAAUGCCGCGUGCAGGAAGAAGGCCUUCGGGUUGUAAACUGCUUUUGUACGGAACGAAACGGUUCUGGUUAAUACCCGGGGCUAGUGACGGUACCGUAAGAAUAAGCACCGGCUAACUACGUGCCAGCAGCCGCGGUAAUACGUAGGGUGCAAGCGUUAAUCGGAAUUACUGGGCGUAAAGCGUGCGCAGGCGGUUGUGUAAGACAGGCGUGAAAUCCCCGGGCUCAGCCUGGGAAUUGCGCUUGUGACUGCAGUGCUGGGAAGCGGCAGAGGGGGAUGGAAUUCCACGUGUAGCAGUGAAAUGCGUAGAUAUGCGGAGGAACACCGAUGGCGAAGGCAAUCCCCUGGGCCUGCACUGACGCUCAUGCACGAAAGCGUGGGGAGCAAACAGGAUUAGAAACCCUGGUAGUCC